RNAcentral lists this ribosomal RNA (496 nucleotides) under uncultured Frankineae bacterium. RNAcentral's name for it is "bacterial SSU rRNA". It matches the Rfam family "Bacterial small subunit ribosomal RNA", at positions 8 to 492 of the family's 1533-position model. The record is from RNAcentral. Lineage: Bacteria; Bacillati; Actinomycetota; Actinomycetes; Frankiales.
AGAGUUUGAUCCUGGCUCAGGACGAACGCUGGCGGCGCGCUUAACACAUGCAAGUCGAGCGAGAACCAGUCCUUCGGGACUGGGGACAGCGGCGAACGGGUGAGUAACACGUGGGUAAUCUGCCCUCGAUUCUGGGAUAGCCCGGGGAAACCCGGAUUAAUACCGGAUAGCCUCUCGAGCUUUCGAGCUCGUGAGAAAAGGUAGCUUCGGCCUCCGAUCGAGGAUGAGCCCGCGGCGGAUUAGCUUGUUGGUGGGGUAAUGGCCUACCAAGGCGACGAUCCGUAGCUGGUCUGAGAGGACGAUCAGCCACACUGGGACUGAGACACGGCCCAGACUCCUACGGGAGGCAGCAGUGGGGAAUCUUGCGCAAUGGGCGAAAGCCUGACGCAGCGACGCCGCGUGGGGGAAGAAGGCCUUCGGGUUGUAAACCUCUUUCAGCAGGGACGAAGCCACUCGGGUUAAUAGCCCAGAGGGUGACGGUACUGCAGAAGAGCCC